CCUACGGGUGGCAGCAGUGAGGAAUAUUGCACAAUGGGCGAAAGCCUGAUGCAGCAACGCCGCGUGAGUGAUGAAGGCCUUCGGGUCGUAAAGCUCUGUCCGCAAGGAAGAGAAGGACGGUACGUGAGGAGGAAGCCCCGGCGAACCACGUGCCAGCAGCCGCGGUAAUACGUAGGGGGCUAGCGUUAGCCGGAAUUACUGGGCGUAAAGGGUGCGUAGGUGGUUUCGUAAGUCCGAGGUGAAAGGCUACGGCUCAACCGUAGGCAGCCUUGGCAACGGGGGAACUUGAGUGCAGGAGCGGUGAGUGGACUUCCUUGUGUAGCGGUUACCUGCUUAGAUCUUAGGAGGCACCCCAGUUGCGAAGGCGGCUCUCUGGACUGUACCUGCCACUGAGGCACGAAAGCGUGUGUAGCACACAGGAUUAGAUACCCUUGUAGUC
Molecule: ribosomal RNA, 439 nt
Filed under: uncultured bacterium
Lineage: Bacteria
Description: partial 16S ribosomal RNA
Rfam family: Bacterial small subunit ribosomal RNA
Source: RNAcentral